This 484-nucleotide ribosomal RNA is filed under the name uncultured bacterium. RNAcentral describes it as "bacterial SSU rRNA". It matches the Rfam family "Bacterial small subunit ribosomal RNA", at positions 32 to 524 of the family's 1533-position model. The record is from RNAcentral.
AAUCAACGCUGGCGGCGUGCCUCAGACAUGCAAGUCGAACGAUUAAGACUCUCUUCGGAGAGUGUAUAAAGUGGCGCACGGGUGAGUAACACGUAGGUAAUGUACCGAAGGGUGGGGAAUAACUUAGGGAAACUUAAGCUAAUACCGCAUAAUACAGCGGCUCGACAUCGAGACAGUUGUUAAAGGAGCAAUCCGCCUUUUGAGCAGCCUGCGGCAGAUUAGCUAGUUGGUAAGGUAAUGGCUUACCAAGGCUACGAUCUGUAACCGACCUGAGAGGGUGGUCGGUCACACUGACACUGAAUAACGGGUCAGACUCCUACGGGAGGCAGCAGUCGGGAAUUUUGGGCAAUGGGCGAAAGCCUGACCCAGCAACGCCGCGUGAAGGAUGAAGUAUUUCGGUAUGUAAAGCUCUUUUACCAGGGAUGAUAAUGACAGUACCUGGAGAAUAAGCUCCGGCUAACUCCGUGCCAGCAGCCGCGGUAAU